This 373-nucleotide unclassified non-coding RNA is filed under the name soil metagenome. Its description in RNAcentral is "partial contains 5.8S ribosomal RNA, internal transcribed spacer 2, and large subunit ribosomal RNA". The stretch from base 1 to 121 matches the Rfam family "5.8S ribosomal RNA", at positions 35 to 154 of the family's 154-position model. The record is from RNAcentral.
GAUGAAGAACGUAGCGAAAUGCGAUAAGUAAUGCGAAUUGCAGAAUUCCAGUGAGUCAUCGAAUCUUUGAACGCACAUUGCGCCCUUUGGUAUUCCGAAGGGCAUGCCUGUUCGAGCGUCAUUAUCACCCCUCAAGCCCUAGGCUUGGUGUUGGACGGUUUGGUGGAGGCCCCCUCGGGGGCUCCUGCCCCUCCCAAAGACAAUGACGGCGGCCUCGUUGGACCCCCGGUACACUGAGUUCUUCACGGGACACGUAUCGGACACAUGGGUUUACGGGACACGGUCUGCCUCCCCUCAGGGAGAAUCUUUCUAAGGUUGACCUCGGAUCAGGUAGGGAUACCCGCUGAACUUAAGCAUAUCAAUAAGCGGAGGA